ACUUGUCUAGCUCAGUUGGUAAAAUACAAGACUCUUAUACUUGUGGUCGUGGGUUCGAGCCCCACGAUGGGCA
This 73-nucleotide transfer RNA is filed under the name Zea mays. It matches the Rfam family "tRNA". Rfam says of the family: Transfer RNA (tRNA) molecules are approximately 80 nucleotides in length. Their secondary structure includes four short double-helical elements and three loops (D, anti-codon, and T loops). Further hydrogen bonds mediate the characteristic L-shaped molecular structure. tRNAs have two regions of fundamental functional importance: the anti-codon, which is responsible for specific mRNA codon recognition, and the 3' end, to which the tRNAs corresponding amino acid is attached (by aminoacyl-tRNA synthetases). tRNAs cope with the degeneracy of the genetic code in two manners: having more than one tRNA (with a specific anti-codon) for a particular amino acid; and 'wobble' base-pairing, i.e. permitting non-standard base-pairing at the 3rd anti-codon position. Lineage: Eukaryota; Viridiplantae; Streptophyta; Magnoliopsida; Poales; Poaceae. The record is from Rfam by way of RNAcentral.